GGAUUAUGCUGAAGAAUGUGGGUUAAAUGUCUUACCAGUGACUCGGACAUGGAUUGAAUUCAUUCCUGAUCCUGUGAAGUUUUUUGGAAGAUAUCCUGUAAAUGAGUACACGCAACUGUAGGUCCCAGAGUCCCGUAAUGAAAUAUUCCUCAAAGUGAAGGUGUGCUCAUUUUUAUUUCCAAGUAGUUCUAAUCUCUCUCCAACACCAUUUUUACACAAAUACAUGUGAACAUCUGUAUUUGAGCUCUGGAUGUUAGAGAUGCUGCACGUUAAUGCUACAUUUUCCCCAACUUUUGCUGUGGAGGGUCCAAAAAUUUGUG
Molecule: long non-coding RNA, 320 nt
Organism: Ictalurus punctatus (channel catfish)
Lineage: Eukaryota; Metazoa; Chordata; Actinopteri; Siluriformes; Ictaluridae
Source: Ensembl